Molecule: long non-coding RNA, 670 nt
Organism: Topomyia yanbarensis
Lineage: Eukaryota; Metazoa; Arthropoda; Insecta; Diptera; Culicidae
Exons: 3
Source: RefSeq, a predicted model, not a curated record
CGCUGCAGCUGGUUGGAAAAUUGUGCGCCGGCACACUGCUUCAACUUACGAUCAGCUGCAGCCGUUGGACAGUUGGAACGAGACGGUCUCGCCGAGGUUAGAUUCCGUGUGGCUCGCGUCGACAGAAGCGUGUUAAAAAGACGUCAGGCGGAAAAUACCCCGGGAAGAUCCUUCGGAAGCAAAUUGGCUGGCAGUCCGCAUUAUCAGUCCCAGCAAAGACCCCUUUCGGAAGGGGUCUUUUUUGGAUAUUAUCUUGCAGCAUUUUGGCGUUCUGUUAGCCGGUCAGGAUCAUCGAGUCAGGUUCGGCGGAAGUUUGCAGCACCACAAACAGAGGCGGCUGCGUAUCUCCCACGUGUGCUAGGUUCACGAUCGACGAGCGAACCGAUCGGAGGAAAGCAAUAGGUUUGAAAGGCUGCUAAUCGGCGCAAACGUCGAGCAGGAACGCGAACUUGGCACCGGAACGCGAACGACGUACAGGAACGUAAACGUCGUGCUGCAAAGAGAACGACGUGCAGGAACGUGGGAAAUAGGAAAAUGGCGGAAUAGUGAGUAGUAAAAUGUAAGAAGAGUGCAUUAGGAAGAAGAGAAAAGACAUGAGAAGUGGUUGGGGUGUAAGCAUGGUGGAAGAGAGGAAGUAAGAAGAAAGAAGCCAUGGUAGAGGCAUAGUAGA